Molecule: ribosomal RNA, 505 nt
Filed under: uncultured bacterium
Lineage: Bacteria
Description: partial 16S ribosomal RNA
Rfam family: Bacterial small subunit ribosomal RNA
Source: RNAcentral
AGUGAACGCCGGCGGUAGGCCUAACACAUGCAAGUCGAACGGCAGCACAGGAGAGCUUGCUCUCUGGGUGGCGAGUGGCGGACGGGUGAGGAAUACAUCGGAAUCUACUCUGUCGUGGGGGAUAACGUAGGGAAACUUACGCUAAUACCGCAUACGACCUCGGGUGAAAGCAGGGGACCUUCGGGCCUUGCGCGAUUGAAUGAGCCGAUGUCGGAUUAGCUAGUUGGCGGGGUAAAGGCCCACCAAGGCGACGAUCCGUAGCUGGUCUGAGAGGAUGAUCAGCCACACUGGAACUGAGACACGGUCCAGACUCCUACGGGAGGCAGCAGUGGGGAAUAUUGGACAAUGGGCGCAAGCCUGAUCCAGCCAUACCGCGUGGGUGAAGAAGGCCUUCGGGUUGUAAAGCCCUUUUGUUGGGAAAGAAAUCCAGCUGGCUAAUACCCGGUUGGGAUGACGGUACCCAAAGAAUAAGCACCGGCUAACUUCGUGCCAGCAGCCGCAGUAA